AUACGUAGGGGGCGAGCGUUGUCCGGAAUGAUUGGGCGUAAAGGGCGCGUAGGCGGCCCGGUAAGUCUGGAGUGAAAGUCCUGUUUUUAAGAUGGGAAUUGCUUUGGAUACUGUCGGGCUUGAGUGCAGGAGAGGUAAGUGGAAUUCCCAGUGUAGCGGUGAAAUGCGUAGAGAUUGGGAGGAACACCAGUGGCGAAGGCGACUUACUGGACUGUAACUGACGCUGAGGCGCGAAAGUGUGGGGAGCAAACAGGAUUAGAUACCCUGGUAGUCCACACUGUAAACGAUGAAUGCUAGGUGUAGGGGGUAUCGACCCCUUCUGUGCCGCAGUAAACACAAUAAGCAUUCCGCCUGGGGAGUACGGUCGCAAGAUUAAAACUCAAAGGAAUUGACGGGG
RNAcentral lists this ribosomal RNA (397 nucleotides) under uncultured bacterium. RNAcentral describes it as "partial 16S ribosomal RNA". It matches the Rfam family "Bacterial small subunit ribosomal RNA", at positions 523 to 918 of the family's 1533-position model. The record is from RNAcentral.